Homo sapiens (human) is the source of this 956-nucleotide long non-coding RNA. RefSeq lists it as uncharacterized. The transcript has 2 exons. NCBI's taxonomy places the organism in Eukaryota, Metazoa, Chordata, Mammalia, Primates, Hominidae. The record is from RefSeq and is a predicted model, not a curated record.
GAAGCACCGGUGAUCAAGAAGCAGUGGACUGCACCCACACACUUCAGGGCACCGCCCACCCACGUGUACCGCGGUCAGUUCCUCCCAGGGAUGCUUCUGGGGACCAGCAACCAGCUGGGAAUCCAGCAACCAGCAUCGCGUCUCGGGUAUCAGAAGGAGGUUAAGGGCCCUCAGCUUCCCGGCGCCACCUUUGUAGCAGUAUGGAGGCGACGCGUCGAGUAGGGGACCGACUAUGAACUUGGGGGCACCCAAGGAUUCCCUCUCCGCGACUGAAACCAGCAGACGAGAGCCUGACGACUGCCUUUCAGUCUUGCCCGCCUCCAGGCCCAGAGCAUGGAUGGCAGUGCCAGCAAGGAAAAGCAAUAUUUCACUCACCUAACGCGGGCCCCUGAGGUUCCACUGCAAAGGCUGCCAUUGCGUCGGCAACUACACUUAAAACCAGUACCUUCCCAAUUAAUUUUCAAAAAUGGCGGAAACGCUCCCCACGGGUAACGGCGUGCUACCUUAUGGGGUUGCGUAACUUCCGGACCUGCGCUAUGCUUAAGUUGUAGGCGCCGGAGCCAUUUUGGAAUAGGGCAAAGUCUUUGCGCUGAGAAUUUCCGAGGAAAGGGUUUUUGCACCGGGAAGGUGGCGAACCAGCGUAUGGUUCUGUGAAUGCUUUUCAUCCGGGAAUGCUUCCUGAUUUGUGGGUACUUAAGUUACAUAGAAGCACAGAUUAUUUUACUCACGGUUUCAUAAUUAGCGUGAGUUGACCCAGUGCUCUAUCAUCGGUCAGCUUUUCUGAGUAGCACCUGGAAAAGUCAGCUUGAUGAAAACAGUUGGUGCCUCUUUGCAAUGUCGAUUUCUGGACUUAGUACAUGACGCUUUUUCCUCAAAGCAUGUUUUCUACUAUCCGUAUGCCAUUUCUUUUAAAUUUUGUGUUAUGUAGACAAUUUUACAUUAAAGCGUAACUCAUA